RNAcentral lists this ribosomal RNA (609 nucleotides) under Rhodotorula mucilaginosa. Its description in RNAcentral is "partial large subunit ribosomal RNA". It matches the Rfam family "Eukaryotic large subunit ribosomal RNA", at positions 35 to 660 of the family's 3401-position model. Lineage: Eukaryota; Fungi; Basidiomycota; Microbotryomycetes; Sporidiobolales; Sporidiobolaceae. The record is from RNAcentral.
UUCGCAUUUCAAUAAGCGGGGGAAAAGAAACUAACAAGGAUUCCCCUAGUAGCGGCGAGCGAAGCGGGAAGAGCUCAAAUUUAUAAUCUGGCACCUUCGGUGUCCGAGUUGUAAUCUCUAGAAAUGUUUUCCGCGUUGGACCGCACACAAGUCUGUUGGAAUACAGCGGCAUAGUGGUGAGACCCCCGUAUAUGGUGCGGACGCCCAGCGCUUUGUGAUACAUUUUCGAAGAGUCGAGUUGUUUGGGAAUGCAGCUCAAAUUGGGUGGUAAAUUCCAUCUAAAGCUAAAUAUUGGCGAGAGACCGAUAGCGAACAAGUACCGUGAGGGAAAGAUGAAAAGCACUUUGGAAAGAGAGUUAACAGUACGUGAAAUUGUUGGAAGGGAAACGCUUGAAGUCAGACUUGCUUGCCGAGCAAUCGGUUUGCAGGCCAGCAUCAGUUUUCCGGGAUGGAUAAUGGUAAAGAGAAGGUAGCAGUUUCGGCUGUGUUAUAGCUCUCUACUGGAUACAUCCUGGGGGACUGAGGAACGCAGUGUGCCUUUGGCGGGGGUUUCGACCUCUUCACACUUAGGAUGCUGGUGGAAUGGCUUUAAACGACCCGUCUUGAAAA